UGGCUCAGAACGAACGCUGGCGGCAGGCCUAACACAUGCAAGUCGAGCGCCCCGCAAGGGGAGCGGCAGACGGGAGAGUAACACGUGGGAACGUGCCCUUUGGUUCGGAACAACCCAGGGAAACUUGGGCUAAUACCGGAUACGUCCGUAAGGAGAAAGAUUUAUCGCCAAAGGAGCGGCCCGCGUCUGAUUAGCUAGUUGGUGAGGUAACGGCUCACCAAGGCGAGGAUCAGUAGCUGGUCUGAGAGGAUGAUCAGCCUCACUGGGACUGAGACACGGCCCAGAGACCUACGGGAGGCAGC
RNAcentral lists this ribosomal RNA (302 nucleotides) under uncultured Hyphomicrobiales bacterium. RNAcentral describes it as "bacterial SSU rRNA". It matches the Rfam family "Bacterial small subunit ribosomal RNA", at positions 20 to 352 of the family's 1533-position model. The record is from RNAcentral. Lineage: Bacteria; Pseudomonadati; Pseudomonadota; Alphaproteobacteria; Hyphomicrobiales.